This 253-nucleotide ribosomal RNA is filed under the name uncultured bacterium. RNAcentral describes it as "partial 16S ribosomal RNA". It matches the Rfam family "Bacterial small subunit ribosomal RNA", at positions 524 to 776 of the family's 1533-position model. The record is from RNAcentral.
UAUGAAGGGGGCGAGCGUUGUUCGGAAUUACUGGGCGUAAAGGGCGCGCAGGCGGCUCUGAAAGUCAGAUGUGAAAGCCCCGGGCUUAACCUGGGAAUUGCAUUUGAUACUCUGGAGCUUGAGUACGGGAGAGGAGAGUGGAAUUCCCAGUGUAGAGGUGAAAUUCGUAGAUAUUGGGAAGAACACCGGUGGCGAAGGCGGCUCUCUGGACCGUAACUGACGCUGAGGCGCGAAAGCGUGGGGAGCAAACAGG